UACGUAGGUGGCAAGCGUUGUCCGGAUUUAUUGGGCGUAAAGAGCGUGUAGGCGGCCAAGCAGGUCAGCUGUGAAAACUCGAGGCUCAACCUCGAGACGUCGGUUGAAACCGUUUGGCUAGAGUCCGGAAGAGGAGAGUGGAAUUCCCGGUGUAGCGGUGAAAUGCGCAGAUAUCGGGAAGAACACCCGUGGCGAAGGCGGCUCUCUGGGACGGUACUGACGCUGAGACGCGAAAGCGUGGGGAGCGAACAGG
Molecule: ribosomal RNA, 253 nt
Filed under: uncultured bacterium
Lineage: Bacteria
Description: partial 16S ribosomal RNA
Rfam family: Bacterial small subunit ribosomal RNA
Source: RNAcentral